Macadamia integrifolia is the source of this 2371-nucleotide long non-coding RNA. RefSeq lists it as uncharacterized. The record is from RefSeq and is a predicted model, not a curated record. The transcript is spliced from 2 exons. Lineage: Eukaryota; Viridiplantae; Streptophyta; Magnoliopsida; Proteales; Proteaceae.
CUUCAUGGGGCAAUCAUGCGUGAAGAGUCCACAGAAUUUGCAGAAGGUAUCAUAAUUGAAGAAUUUCGUAAGGGUUUCAAACUUGGUGAUAGGCUUUUGCGUCCAUCAUUGGUCAAGGUAUCUGCUGGUCCUGGCCCAGCUAAGUCCAGAGAGCAGUAGGGCAAUCAGAGAAAUGCAGGUAAGAGCAGUGAAACAAGCGAUGGAACUCAUCCAGGAGAAUCUACUUAAUUUUCCUGGAUACUUAAAUUUAGAUCAGUUUUGUAGAAAUAGUUCUUGUUUGAAGGGGUGUAGAGUUUUUAUUUAUUUAUUUGAAAAUUUUUCAUUGUGAAGUAGUUGUUGCAUAGGUAAAAGAAAACUUUCAAGAUAGGAUGUCAUGAUGUAUUUUCUUUUUGAAUCUUCUUUACACAUUUAGAUGACCAUGUUUUGGGUUGCAAUCUCUACUCCAUCUCAAUUUACUUACAGGCUGUGUUUGGUAUGCGUAUCAGAAGUUCUGGGUCUAGAAUGCAUUCUGGAAUGGCAGAAAUCAGUAAGAUUCAGAUUGAAUGGACAUAGAGGGACGGAGUCUAGUUCAGUUUUCUGGGGUGAAAGCCUUGAAAAACGUUUCGCCAUUUCCUAGCACGCCCUUUGUUAGGUACACAUUCUCAUUCUAAAUUCCUAGAAUGGAGUCAAGAAUGGACCUCGUUUGGGAAUGGGUUUUCCCAUUCCACUUUCCACGUUCUCCUUUUUUUGUUAUCCCCGACUCUUCACUGACUCCCGACUAUCAAAGCUUCUUGUUUAUGUUACUUAGAGAAUAGGAGCUUGGAUUGAUGGCUCCACAGGAAGAUUGGAGGAUUGACGCUGUCUGGUUCCGUCCAUCACUAGAGUUGGAUUAGCCUAAAAGGUUGCAGAUUGCAGUUGGAGCUUCACAAGGGCUUUGUUACGUGAACCAUGAUUGCUCUUUGCCAAUUGUUAACCCUGAUGUGAAGUCAAGCAACAUGCUACUAGACUCAAGACUUCAAGGCAAGGAUUGCAGAUUUUGGGCUUGCCAAGCUGAUGCAUAAGCCAGGGGGCCUAACAAAAUGUCUUUCUUUUGGCUACAUUUCUCGAGAAUUUUCUUAUACAACCGAUGUGAAUGAGAAGAUUGAUAUCUACAGCUUUGGGGAGGUGCUGUUGGAAUUGGCAACAGCAAGAGAAGCCAAUGAUGGAGAUGAGCAUAUGUGUCAGGCUGAGUGGGCAUGGCAUUACUUCCAAGACGGCAAAUCCAUCAUCGAUGCCCUUGACGUGAGGAUAGGGAACUUCCAUGAUGAGGAAUUUGUUUGAACACCCAGCAGCUUGGCAUAGUAAUGAUUCCUCAGAGAUCACUUCCUUGAUGUUGUACUUGAGGGUAAAGGUUUCCCAGAUCUGAAUUUACCUUAGUCUGAAGAAGGGAUCAUUGCUCUGUUGGAAAAUCCUACAGUUGAGUUCGACUUUGCUGCUGAUGACUUAGAUCUCGAGAUAAAUGGUUUAGUUGUUAAGAUGGGGACGGAGUCUGAAUUAGAGGUGCUUGUAAUGAAUGGUCUUUGAGUAAGGAAGACGAAGAGGACGGGCUUUGAUGGAAAAAAAAAGUCGAAAGAUGACAGGUUUAAGGAAUGAAUGGAGUGUUAGAAGUUAGAAAGCAGGAAAUGCCCAGACUAUGCAGGAUGCAAAAAGAUUGUGCUGCCUCCCCCCCCUCCCCUUUGGUGUGUGCUGAAUAUGCUGCCACAUGCCCUCCCAUUGGCCCGUUGGUUUACUGUUUCCACAGUUCUUUCGCCCUAAGAAAAGAGCCCUCAUAACUCGUGCUAGUGCAGCCUAAGAGGAUAAGGGUCCAGUUGUGAACUUGUGGUGACAUGGACAGAUUGUUUUGCCAGCGCAAAUGCCACAUGGUAUAUACCUAUCUAAAGCUGUCUAGUAGGGUUUUAAGAAUUGGAAUCAGAUCGGGCGAGGCUGAUUUGGAGUCGAUCUUUGCAUGGAUUCUGGGGUUAGGAUAUGUCUUGGCCAAUUUUGAUCGAUUUCUUUUCGAUUCUGAUCAAAGUCGGCUAGGAGUCUAGGACCAAGACAGAUCCAGCUCCCGAUUCUAGGUUUUUGAUCUCUAUUGUCUAAGGAACUGUGGCAGAAUGAAGGAACAUACGCCCAUUUAUUAUGUCAGACAAGGCUAGUUGGAGUGCACGCUCGGCCCUAAAUUUCACUGGGCUUCUAAUGGAACAAUUGUAACAGCCACAUAUCGGCAUAACUUGGUUGUAACAGGCCUGGAUGACCCUUGGAGCGCCCAAUCUAAGUCAGUCCAGUUGAGCAUCAGUAGACUUGGCUUGGGAUCAGGUAAGAAUGAAUAGUGGGAAAUCAAAUCCUGAGGUCUAAUAAUUAAAUCAUUCAAGUA